RNAcentral lists this long non-coding RNA (456 nucleotides) under Macaca mulatta (Rhesus monkey). RNAcentral's name for it is "lncRNA (ENSMMUG00000049984.1)". Lineage: Eukaryota; Metazoa; Chordata; Mammalia; Primates; Cercopithecidae. The record is from RNAcentral.
AAACAUUUAAAUUGAAAUAAUAGCAACCUCACUUAUGUCUCUGUUUUCUUAAGGUGGAACCAAAUGAUCAUUUUCAGGCUUUUAACCCAUCAUCUGUUUUUCCAGCCCAAGCCAUCAGCCAAAUCAGGUUUUAACUUCAUUGAGACUUACGGCUUCUUGCCAAUAUUUUUGCCAAAACCCUGUAAUCAGUCUCAUUUAUUUUUAUCUUGCUAUACCAACUUACAGCUCCCAAAACAAACUGUUCUCUUCUUGGUCUUGGAACUGGUCUUCUAAAAACAGCACGGAGUCACCUGAGUCCUCCUAGAUAAGAGCCAAAGCUGAGCUUCGGAUCACCCCUGCUCUGGCGACUUAGUGCUGGCAACACCGGACCCAGAGGCUACAUCUUCUGAUUCCAAUCCCCACUCUUUUCUCAGCACAGGCUUUCUCUAACUAUUCCCAAAUGAAGCUAAGCACUGG